RNAcentral lists this ribosomal RNA (397 nucleotides) under uncultured bacterium. RNAcentral describes it as "partial 16S ribosomal RNA". It matches the Rfam family "Bacterial small subunit ribosomal RNA", at positions 523 to 918 of the family's 1533-position model. The record is from RNAcentral.
AUACGGAGGAUGCGAGCGUUAUCCGGAUUUACUGGGCGUAAAGGGCGUGUAGGCGGUCUUGCAAGUCAGAAGUGAAAUUCCUGAGCUCAACUCGGGCGCUGCUUCUGAAACUGCAGGACUUGAGUGCUGGAGGGGCUAGCGGAAUUCCUAGUGGAGCGGUAAAAUGCGCAGAUAUUAGGAGGAACACCGGUGGCGAAGGCGGCUAUCUGGACAGUAACUGACGCUGAGGCGCGAAAGCACGGGGAGCAAACAGGAUUAGAUACCCUGGUAGUCCGUGCCGUAAACGAUGAAUACUAGGUGUAGGGGGUAUCGACUCCCUCUGUGCCGCAGUUAACACAUUAAGUAUUCCACCUGGGGAGUACGGCCGCAAGGUUGAAACUCAAAUGAAUUGGCGGGG